Molecule: ribosomal RNA, 774 nt
Filed under: uncultured Neocallimastigales
Lineage: Eukaryota; Fungi; Neocallimastigomycota; Neocallimastigomycetes; Neocallimastigales
Description: partial large subunit ribosomal RNA
Rfam family: Eukaryotic large subunit ribosomal RNA
Source: RNAcentral
UAUCUCUGUAGAGUCUGCAUAUCAAUAAGCGGAGGAAAAGAAACUAACAAGGAUUCCCCUAGUAACGGUGAGUGAAGCGGGAAGAGCUCAAAUUUGAAAUCUUCAAGGUUUGACCUUGACGAAUUGUAGUUUAAAGAAGUGUUUUCGGUUAGAGGAGUAGUAAAAGUUCUUUGGAAUAGGACAUCAUAGAGGGUGAGAAUCCCGUAUUUGACUAUUCUUUCUAGCUUUGUGAUACACUUUCAAAGAGUCGGAUUGUUUGGGAAUGCAGUCCAAAAUGGGUGGUAAAUUUCAUCUAAAGCUAAAUAUUGGCGAGAGACCGAUAGCGAACAAGUACCGUGAGGGAAAGAUGAAAAGAACUUUGAAAAGAGAGUUAAACAGUACGUGAAAUUGUCAAAAGGGAAGCGUUUGACACCAGUGUUGUUUUUCCGAAAAUCAAUUAAAAAUUGAUUCAUGCCAGGUUGUAUUGACCUUAUCAGCUUGCAAUUUGGUUUUGGGUCUCUUUUUGAUGCACUUUUCGGUUAACAAGUCAACAUCAAUUUCCUUUGCUGUAAAAAGGUAAGAGGAAGGUGGCUUCAAUUUCGGUUGAAGUGUUUAUAGCCUUUUAUCUCUGCAGUCGGGGAGAUUGAGGUCUGCAGCGUAGAUCCUUCGGGGCUAGAUACAUUUAUGCUAAGUUAUAGCUUUUCAUAGACAACUUGUUGACUAUGUUUAGUCAUGUAGCUUACUCGUAAGUGCUAUUUUACCUACGCUUAGGAUGUUGAAGACUCUACAGAGAUA